RNAcentral lists this ribosomal RNA (357 nucleotides) under uncultured eukaryote. RNAcentral's name for it is "partial 18S ribosomal RNA". It matches the Rfam family "Eukaryotic small subunit ribosomal RNA", at positions 592 to 976 of the family's 1831-position model. The record is from RNAcentral.
UGAUAGCGUAUAUUAAAAUUGUUGCAGUUAGAACGCUCGUAGUUGAAUAUCUGUCUACUGUUUGCUUGGUCCGCUUUGCGUGCACCAAGCAUCGGAGACAUCCGUUUGCAAUUUUGAAUUUCAAUGUUGCAAACCGUUCACUUUGAGGAAAUUAGAGUGUUCAAAGCAGGCUUAGCUUGAAUACUUCAGCAUGGAAUGAUCGAUAGGACUUCCGUCCUAUCCGUUGGUUCUAGGGGCGCGAAGUAAUGAUAAAAAGGGUCGGUCGGGGGCAUUCGUAUUGAACAGUCAGAGGUGAAAUUCUUAGAUUUGUUCAAGACGAGCAACUGCGAAAGCAUUUGCCAAGGACGACCCCAUUAA